This 498-nucleotide ribosomal RNA is filed under the name uncultured bacterium. RNAcentral describes it as "partial 16S ribosomal RNA". It matches the Rfam family "Bacterial small subunit ribosomal RNA", at positions 29 to 523 of the family's 1533-position model. The record is from RNAcentral.
AUUGAACGCUGGCGGAAUGCUUUACACAUGCAAGUCGAGCGGCAGCGCGGGGCAACCUGGCGGCGAGCGGCGAACGGGUGAGUAAUACAUCGGAACGUACCCAGUUGUGGGGGAUAGCCCGGCGAAAGCCGGAUUAAUACCGCAUACGACCUGAGGGUGAAAGGGGGGGAUCGCAAGACCUCUCGCAGUUGGAGCGGCCGAUGGCGGAUUAGCUAGUUGGUGGGGUAAAGGCCUACCAAGGCGACGAUCCGUAGCGGGUCUGAGAGGACGACCCGCCACACUGGAACUGAGACACGGUCCAGACUCCUACGGGAGGCAGCAGUGGGGAAUUUUGGACAAUGGGGGAAACCCUGAUCCAGCCAUUCCGCGUGAGUGAAGAAGGCCUUCGGGUUGUAAAGCUCUUUCGGCAGGAACGAAACGGUGGCCCCUAAUACGGGUUGCUAAUGACGGUACCUGAAGAAGAAGCACCGGCUAACUACGUGCCAGCCGCCGCAGUAA